RNAcentral lists this microRNA precursor (79 nucleotides) under Bombyx mori (domestic silkworm). Its description in RNAcentral is "microRNA bmo-mir-745 precursor". Its record names the gene bmo-mir-745. It matches the Rfam family "mir-745 microRNA precursor family". The record is from miRBase by way of RNAcentral. Lineage: Eukaryota; Metazoa; Arthropoda; Insecta; Lepidoptera; Bombycidae.
UAGUUGGUUGCGGCUCAUCGUGUGGCAGUUUGCUAGGUUAGAAUGCCAGCUGCCUAGCGAAGGGCAACGAACAACUGAG